This 301-nucleotide ribosomal RNA is filed under the name uncultured bacterium. Its description in RNAcentral is "partial 16S ribosomal RNA". It matches the Rfam family "Bacterial small subunit ribosomal RNA", at positions 509 to 807 of the family's 1533-position model. The record is from RNAcentral.
CAGUAGCCGCGGUAAUACGUAGGGUGCAAGCGUUAAUCGGAAUUACUGGGCGUAAAGCGUGCGCAGGCGGUCCGCUAAGACAGAUGUGAAAUCCCCGGGCUUAACCUGGGAACUGCAUUUGUGACUGGCGGGCUAGAGUAUGGCAGAGGGGGGUAGAAUUCCACGUGUAGCAGUGAAGUGCGUAGAGAUGUGGAGGAAUACCGAUGGCGAAGGCAGCCCCCUGGGCCAAUACUGACGCUCAUGCACGAAAGCGUGGGGAGCAAACAGGAUUAGAUACCCCAGUAGUCCCUGUCUCUUAUAC